CUCGUCUCCCUGCCGGCAAGCUUCGAAUCGCCGUCAUUACUGUCCGCCGGCCACCGUCACCUAUCUCCCCAAGGUGAGCUCCUGAACCGAAUGUUCUUCUCAAUUAGCGGGCUUAGGGGCGUCCUGCUAGGAUGUGGGAGCUAUUGGGGAAGUCAGGGGAAUAGCUUGUGCCGCCUCCGUGCGCCGCCAUGGCCGGCCGAUGGCCAAGCCGCGGCCGCCCGUGGAGGGGCCGGCUCGGGCCACCUCCCGGCGAGCUGGAAGUGGGCGCGGGUGCGCCUGACCUGGGGCGCCGCCACCCCGUCCCUCUCGGCCGCCGGCGAGCCGCCGUUGGCCGGGGCCCGUCCCGUUUUGCCCCGCCGGCGUGCACCCCUGUUUUAGCGCAGGGAGGAAGAAGAGGCGCCAGGGGAUUGGAAGGAGAAAGAGAGGAGAGGCAGGCCGGUUGGUGAACUUGGGCCGGGAGGCCAAGCCUCGGUGGGGAAGGCCCAGGUGGAGUGGGAGAGGGAAAGAAGAGGGCCAGCCACGUCUUGGGCCAGGGGAAGGCGCGGGCCCAGCUAGCCGCGCGGUGUAAAGGAGGAAGGGAGAUCCGGUGAGCCGUCCGCUGAUCUGAAAGGAAAAUGGGCCGUGCAGCCCAGGUGGAAGUGGAGAAGAAAGGGAGUGGGCCGGUGAGUAAAGAACGGCCAUGGGCCAGAGUAGCAGGCCGGUCAAGCGGAAAGAGAAAAGAGAAGGUGGGCCGAGCGCGGUUGAGAAAGAAGAGAGAAGAGGGAAGCCGGCCCAAAAAGAAGCUGCGCAAGAAGGCCCACGCGUGGAAGGUUAAAGGCUGACGGGCCAUGUUUCGGCCCAAGGAAAAGUGCCGGUCGUGGGCCCCACUUGUCAAGGAAGAAAAGAAGAAGGAGAAUAGGAAACCAGAUGGGCCCUAGGUGGAAGUGAUAGUGGGUAGAAGCAGGUUAGGUGAGAGAAGUUUGGGCCGGGGGUUUUAAUUAAACCUUAGGUUUUCUUUAUUAGAUAAAUAGAUUAAAUGCUGUUUUCACCAAUUAAUUCACAGGAAAUUCUAGAAGUGCCCAAAAUUAGUGAAACCAAUUUUAUUAGGAUUGUUUUAUUUUCCUUUAUGCAUUAAAAUUCUUAAACCCUAGGAAAAAUAAUAAAAAUUUAGGUAUUUAUUUAAUGCCUUUUUAUCUAAGGUAUUUAAAUAAAUGCUUAAACUUUAUUAAAUGUAUAAAAAUUUGAAAAAUGCUUUAUUAUCCACAAAUCAUUAUUAAUUCAUAGGAAUUAGGUUUUUGAGAUUAGAAAAUUAUUAUAAUGCUUUUAAAAAUAAAUAAAAAGGUCUAAGGUAGGUUUAGUAAAGGAAAUAAAAAUGGUGGGCUAAUCUUUUCGGGUUUUUGUGUGUUGGCUUGCAACUUUAUCAUGAUAAAUUGUCUAAAGUUGUAUAGUCUUGUAUUCAAAAGUUUGCAUCUCUAACUCUUGCAUAUACUGAAUCGUAGACGUCACAACUCCUGGAGUGGGAAUUCAUGGAUUUCAGCUGGAGAUGGACAGCAUUCGCAGUGCCUCUUUCAAUAAACAAGUUUUCCGAAGAACUAACCUUGUUGAUCCCAGGCAAGCCCCGGUGCAUUUAUACCUAUCUAUUUUGGAGUCGUUAUUUCAUGUGACUAGUUAUAGGUUAUUUGUUUAUUGUAUGCACUAAGUCUAGGAGUUGAAUGAAACCUAUUCUUGUGUAUGAUCAUGCCUUGAUUUAAGGACAUCUUUGCCACUUGUUCAAAUCUUAGAAACUACCCAAGUCUAGAAAUGCUUAUUUGCUUACAUGAUUGGUUUACCAACCUUAAGGAAAACUCUUAAGUCAUACAUGUUGCUUAUGAAGGAUAGUCUGGAAUAUGAAUACGGACAGAAGCUAGAGAUGUAGUUCUGUCUGCUAGAUUAAUCUGGCUAAGGACCUAUCCGUGUCUUAACCGCUGAUCAAGUGAUAACAUCUAAUCACUUACUGGGUAUGGGACCAGUAAAGCCCAGUAGAUUAGUAAAUUCUAUGAUCAGGAAUGCUUCGUACCCGCAUUUGACGUGCUGGAGAUUGGCAGGGGUGUAGCCUGAAACUCACAUGGAGAUCAGGCCAGACGUGGGGUCCCAUGUGGGGGUGCAUCCCUGGGUCCGGGUAGUUGUAUUCCUAAUCAUUGACUUUGCUAAUCGAGAGGUUGUGAGAUACGACCGGAACAGUCGUAUAUUGCUGGUGAUCAGGGUACUCUCCUGCAGGAUGUAAUUUGAUCCGGAUCGCCGCAAUUCUCGGUUAUGAAUGCACUUGAUCACUGUUGAGCAUCGUAGUAUCAACUCAUGCGAUAUAAAAUCUCCUGUUGUCAAGUAAUGUAUGACUUAACAGCUGUGGUUGCUUUUACUUCUGCUAUCAUUUAGAAUGGUUAGGUAAUAACUUAACUAAACCAAAAGAUAAAACUAAGGUAUCACUUGUAGUAAGCUUUUCAGCAAAAAUUGCAUUAGCCAAGUACACCAAAAAGCUAAAGCAUACACUUCCAAAGAAAGCUAUUAUAUUGGUUAGUCGGGUAAGACUUGCUGAGUACUUCGUACUCAGGGGAUCCCUUGUUGUUGUUUUCAGAAAGCCAGCAGGGACUCACCGAAGAGGAAGCCCCGAAGACCUAGGGUAUCUUAUGAGUCUCAUGAUACUCUAGAAUGAAACUUAAAUAUUUGUUUUUCUCCCAAACUGGUUUUAAAUUCUUAGAACCACACUGACCUGCAUGAUUAAGUUGUUUCAAACUAUGGUUGUAAUAUAUCGUACCUUGGUUAUGUCUUUAAAAAUGUAAUAUUUGUUGAUGUUAUCCCAUCGCGGAUAUUAUCCUGAUGUAUGGCUAUGAG
RNAcentral lists this long non-coding RNA (2847 nucleotides) under Setaria italica (foxtail millet). RNAcentral describes it as "long non-coding RNA (SITA_LNC004406)". The record is from RNAcentral. Lineage: Eukaryota; Viridiplantae; Streptophyta; Magnoliopsida; Poales; Poaceae.